UACGUAGGGACCGAGCGUUGUCCGGAUUCAUUGGGCGUAAAGAGCGCGCAGGCGGUCGUUCAAGUCGAGUGUGAAAGCCCCCGGCUCAACUGGGGAGGGUCAUUCGAUACUGAUCGACUCGAAGGCAGGAGAGGGUAGUGGAAUUCCCGGUGUAGCGGUGAAAUGCGCAGAUAUCGGGAGGAACACCCGUAGCGAAGGCGGCACUCUGGGCCGGUACUGACGCUGAGGAGCGAAAGCGUGGGGAGCAAACAGG
This 253-nucleotide ribosomal RNA is filed under the name uncultured bacterium. Its description in RNAcentral is "partial 16S ribosomal RNA". It matches the Rfam family "Bacterial small subunit ribosomal RNA", at positions 524 to 776 of the family's 1533-position model. The record is from RNAcentral.